RNAcentral lists this ribosomal RNA (747 nucleotides) under Staphylococcus aureus. Its description in RNAcentral is "bacterial SSU rRNA". It matches the Rfam family "Bacterial small subunit ribosomal RNA", at positions 21 to 750 of the family's 1533-position model. Lineage: Bacteria; Bacillati; Bacillota; Bacilli; Caryophanales; Staphylococcaceae. The record is from RNAcentral.
UGCUCAGGAUGAACGCUGGCGGCGUGCCUAAUACAUGCAAGUCGAGCGAACGGACGAGAAGCUUGCUUCUCUGAUGUUAGCGGCGGACGGGUGAGUAACACGUGGAUAACCUACCUAUAAGACUGGGAUAACUUCGGGAAACCGGAGCUAAUACCGGAUAAUAUUUUGAACCGCAUGGUUCAAAAGUGAAAGACGGUCUUGCUGUCACUUAUAGAUGGAUCCGCGCUGCAUUAGCUAGUUGGUAAGGUAACGGCUUACCAAGGCAACGAUGCAUAGCCGACCUGAGAGGGUGAUCGGCCACACUGGAACUGAGACACGGUCCAGACUCCUACGGGAGGCAGCAGUAGGGAAUCUUCCGCAAUGGGCGAAAGCCUGACGGAGCAACGCCGCGUGAGUGAUGAAGGUCUUCGGAUCGUAAAACUCUGUUAUUAGGGAAGAACAUAUGUGUAAGUAACUGUGCACAUCUUGACGGUACCUAAUCAGAAAGCCACGGCUAACUACGUGCCAGCAGCCGCGGUAAUACGUAGGUGGCAAGCGUUAUCCGGAAUUAUUGGGCGUAAAGCGCGCGUAGGCGGUUUUUUAAGUCUGAUGUGAAAGCCCACGGCUCAACCGUGGAGGGUCAUUGGAAACUGGAAAACUUGAGUGCAGAAGAGGAAAGUGGAAUUCCAUGUGUAGCGGUGAAAUGCGCAGAGAUAUGGAGGAACACCAGUGGCGAAGGCGACUUUCUGGUCUGUAACUGACGCUGAG